This is a long non-coding RNA of Daktulosphaira vitifoliae (grape phylloxera), 251 nucleotides long. RefSeq lists it as uncharacterized. The transcript is spliced from 3 exons. The record is from RefSeq and is a predicted model, not a curated record. Lineage: Eukaryota; Metazoa; Arthropoda; Insecta; Hemiptera; Phylloxeridae.
AAAUACCAUCCGAAGCUGUCAAACAUAUGAAUCCGAUUGUAUUGAUCAAAAGAAUUUCACAAGACAUUAUAGACUACUAUAUGUCUAGUAAAAAAACUAAUGCAGACGAAAUAGUAAAUAAUUUUGGUGAACAAGAAAAUGUAAGAAUUAACAAUUCUUAUCCGAUUGUAUUGAUCGAAAGAAUUCCACAAGACAUUAUAGACUAUUAUAUGUCUAGUAAAAAAACUAAUGCAGACGAAAUAGUAAAUAAU